Molecule: long non-coding RNA, 307 nt
Filed under: Gossypium raimondii (Peruvian cotton)
Lineage: Eukaryota; Viridiplantae; Streptophyta; Magnoliopsida; Malvales; Malvaceae
Description: long non-coding RNA (GRAI_LNC009283)
Source: RNAcentral
CAUAAGGAAAGAAGUUACCUGAUUAAUCGUGGUAGUUCCAUAAGCUAUUGGUGGGUGCUUCCUUAUUUGAUCAUCGGAAGUUCAAAAUUGUUGUGCUUCUUCAUGUGAGGUUUCUACGCAAACAAUUUUAAAACAACAAAGAAAAGAAAACAAAAAUCUAUUAUUAAUCCUACUCCUAAAAAUAAAAAUUAAAGAUUAUUCCAAAUUAAUACAGUCCUAGAGAAUGAAAAUAAAAAAUUAAGUUUAAUCAUCGUUCAAAUCAUCAAAACGAGGCGAGUGCCCCCUUUCUAUUGGUUUUUUCCUUUUC